UUUAUCUUAGUAUAAUGUUAUUAUACUAGCUUUUCGUGUUAGAGAUAGUUUAACUAGAUAAAU
This 63-nucleotide transfer RNA is filed under the name Moniezia sp. MN-2015. RNAcentral describes it as "tRNA-Glu". Lineage: Eukaryota; Metazoa; Platyhelminthes; Cestoda; Cyclophyllidea; Anoplocephalidae. The record is from RNAcentral.